RNAcentral lists this transfer-messenger RNA (293 nucleotides) under Pseudomonadota bacterium. RNAcentral describes it as "Proteobacteria bacterium (marine sediment metagenome) transfer-messenger RNA". It matches the Rfam family "transfer-messenger RNA". Rfam says of the family: Bacterial tmRNA, also known as 10Sa RNA or SsrA, is named for its dual tRNA and mRNA-like properties. Its role is to liberate the mRNA from a stalled ribosome. To accomplish this part of the tmRNA is used as a reading frame that ends in a translation stop signal. The record is from RNAcentral. Lineage: Bacteria; Pseudomonadati; Pseudomonadota.
GGGGGCGAAAAGGGUUCGACGGGGGUGAUUGACUCUAGGAUGGCAUGCCGAGGUCCUGNNNNNNNNNNNNNNUUCUUUCAGCUUUCUCCUGCGGGGCUGAAAAGGAUGUCAUUUUAGCAGGAUAGCCUGUCUCCCGACGCUCAUAAGGAGGUGGGCGAAUCGCCUAUGAGCUAGCGCCUCAGGACUCCUGCCCGUUGGAUACCUGAGACGUAAAACCGAAAAAGCGGGAUAAGCAUGUAGAGGUCCUAGGGGAACGCUUCCGGACGGGGGUUCGAUUCCCCCCGCCUCCACCA